RNAcentral lists this transfer RNA (84 nucleotides) under Candidatus Aerophobota bacterium. RNAcentral describes it as "tRNA-Tyr". It matches the Rfam family "tRNA". From Rfam's summary of the family: Transfer RNA (tRNA) molecules are approximately 80 nucleotides in length. Their secondary structure includes four short double-helical elements and three loops (D, anti-codon, and T loops). Further hydrogen bonds mediate the characteristic L-shaped molecular structure. tRNAs have two regions of fundamental functional importance: the anti-codon, which is responsible for specific mRNA codon recognition, and the 3' end, to which the tRNAs corresponding amino acid is attached (by aminoacyl-tRNA synthetases). tRNAs cope with the degeneracy of the genetic code in two manners: having more than one tRNA (with a specific anti-codon) for a particular amino acid; and 'wobble' base-pairing, i.e. permitting non-standard base-pairing at the 3rd anti-codon position. The record is from RNAcentral. RNAcentral also lists the same sequence under 1 other name. Lineage: Bacteria; Candidatus Aerophobota.
GGGGAGGUGCCAGAGUGGCCAAAUGGGGCGGGCUGUAAACCCGUUGGCGUUAUGCCUACGAUGGUUCGAAUCCAUCCCUCCCCA